CAGCAGCCGCGGUAAUACGAAGGGUGCAAGCGUUAAUCGGAAUUACUGGGCGUAAAGCGUGCGUAGGCGGUGAGUUAAGUCUGCUGUGAAAUCCCCGGGCUCAACCUGGGAAUGGCAGUGGAUACUGGGUCACUAGAGUGUGGUAGAGGAUAGUGGAAUUUCCGGUGUAGCAGUGAAAUGCGUAGAGAUCGGAAGGAACAUCUGUGGCGAAGGCGACUAUCUGGGCCAACACUGACACUGAGGCACGAAAGCGUGGGGAGCAAACAGGAUUAGAUACCCGCGUAGUCCCUGUCUCUUAUAC
RNAcentral lists this ribosomal RNA (301 nucleotides) under uncultured bacterium. Its description in RNAcentral is "partial 16S ribosomal RNA". It matches the Rfam family "Bacterial small subunit ribosomal RNA", at positions 509 to 807 of the family's 1533-position model. The record is from RNAcentral.